This 468-nucleotide ribosomal RNA is filed under the name uncultured bacterium. RNAcentral's name for it is "partial 16S ribosomal RNA". It matches the Rfam family "Bacterial small subunit ribosomal RNA", at positions 28 to 523 of the family's 1533-position model. The record is from RNAcentral.
GAUGAACGCUGGCGGCGUGCCUAACACAUGCAAGUCGAGCGAUUCUCUUCGGAGAAGAGCGGCGGACGGGUGAGUAACGCGUGGGUAACCUGCCCUGUACACACGGAUAACAUACCGAAAGGUAUGCUAAUACGAGAUAAUAUACUUUUAUCACAUGGUAGAAGUAUCAAAGCUUUUGCGGUACAGGAUGGACCCGCGUCUGAUUAGCUAGUUGGUAAGGUAACGGCUUACCAAGGCGACGAUCAGUAGCCGACCUGAGAGGGUGAUCGGCCACAUUGGAACUGAGACACGGUCCAAACUCCUACGGGAGGCAGCAGUGGGGAAUAUUGCACAAUGGGCGAAAGCCUGAUGCAGCAACGCCGCGUGAGUGAUGAAGGCCUUCGGGUCGUAAAGCUCUGUCCUCAAGGAAGAUAAUGACGGUACCGUAAGAAUAAGCACCGGCUAACUACGUGCCAGCCGCCGCAGUAA